GAGCGGGACGCACUGAGGUCAUUGUUUGUGUAUGUCCUUGUCUCAGAUCCGCUGCACACUUUUGGGCGACAUGCAUUAGUGGUAAGCAAAAAA
Molecule: small RNA, 93 nt
Filed under: Sinorhizobium meliloti 2011
Lineage: Bacteria; Pseudomonadati; Pseudomonadota; Alphaproteobacteria; Hyphomicrobiales; Rhizobiaceae
Description: putative ncRNA
Source: RNAcentral